CCCACAGAGAAGGGAGGGGCCCAAAGUCCCACCCUUUGUCAGUGUCAGAGCCAGCACUAGAAGCUGAGUCUGUAAGAGCCCAAUGGAGGCUUAAGGAAAGGAGCUCAAUGAAGCUGAGGAGUUUCUAUCCUCCUCUGAGCCAGUCUUCCAGUCACUUCUCCAAGUCAGUGCCCGACUGUCCGAAUGCCUGAAUGUCCAUCUUCCCUCCAGCUCCAAGUGACUGAUCCUUCUUCACUCCAAGCCCAGAAAAUGGAAACAUCUGCACAUCCAACAAGCACAUCAAACCAUGGAAAGGACCAGAUCCAGAUGCAGAUGGAGCAGAUAUGCAUCCAGGACCAAGCAUGACACACCAUGUGGCCCAGGACCAGGAAGAGAAGCAAACACAUGACAUUGAUAACCUGCAAACCAGCCACACACAAUACACAUCUGGUGAGAUGCUCACUACACACUUGCCAAAGACUGCAAUUAUACCCCUCUUAGUAAUAUGCACUAUCAUUGCCCUGAUGGAUAGUUGUCAGGCUGAAAUCUAUUGGUCUAUUAAACCUAAACCCCCAGUAUUAAAGAUGUUAACUUGG
Monodelphis domestica (gray short-tailed opossum) is the source of this 575-nucleotide long non-coding RNA. RefSeq lists it as uncharacterized. NCBI's taxonomy places the organism in Eukaryota, Metazoa, Chordata, Mammalia, Didelphimorphia, Didelphidae. The record is from RefSeq and is a predicted model, not a curated record.